CAGUCGCCGCGGGAACACAGAGGGUGCGAGCGUUAAUCGGAUUUACUGGGCGUAAAGCGUGCGUAGGCGGCUUUUUAAGUCGGAUGUGAAAUCCCUGAGCUUAACUUAGGAAUUGCAUUCGAUACUGGGAAGCUAGAGUAUGGGAGAGGAUGGUAGAAUUCCAGGUGUAGCGGUGAAAUGCGUAGAGAUCUGGAGGAAUACCGAUGGCGAAGGCAGCCAUCUGGCCUAAUACUGACGCUGAGGUACGAAAGCAUGGGAAGCAAACAGGAUUAGAUACCCCAGUAGUCCCUGUCUCUUAUAC
Molecule: ribosomal RNA, 301 nt
Filed under: uncultured bacterium
Lineage: Bacteria
Description: partial 16S ribosomal RNA
Rfam family: Bacterial small subunit ribosomal RNA
Source: RNAcentral